RNAcentral lists this microRNA precursor (62 nucleotides) under Bos taurus (domestic cattle). RNAcentral describes it as "Bta-Mir-17-P4d_pre stem-loop". It matches the Rfam family "mir-17 microRNA precursor family", at positions 11 to 80 of the family's 80-position model. Rfam says of the family: This family represents the microRNA (miRNA) precursor mir-17, family, which includes mir-20, mir-91, and mir-103. miRNAs are transcribed as ~70nt precursors (modelled here) and subsequently processed by the Dicer enzyme to give a ~22nt product. Lineage: Eukaryota; Metazoa; Chordata; Mammalia; Artiodactyla; Bovidae. The record is from RNAcentral.
CAAAGUGCUGUUCGUGCAGGUAGUGUGAUCACCUGACCUACUGCUGAGCCAGCACUUCCCGA